AGCAGGGAUUCCACCUGGCAGCUUGCAGGGCUGGGAAUCUGUGAGUGUGAGGGUGGCUGCAGAGGACACAAACUGCGGGACACAGACACGAACACGCAUUCCUGGGAUCUCCUUCUCUUCCCAUCCUUUUCUGCCAUUCUGUGCAUUCCUGUGCACACGCUCAGGCUGCCACACAGCCCCAUCAUGCUCCGUGAGAGCACUGAACUCUCCCACCUACUGAACUCCCACCUGCUCGUGCACACCCACGCUCACAGCCAGCAGGAAGCCAGAGGAGCAGAGCACAUGCACCUCAUGGCUGCCUGCAGGUGUCAUUCCCCACCGCUCCCGGACAGCCAACUGCCUUGUCACAUUUCAGACUCCCUCUCCCUCCCCUGCCCACCCACUGAGAGACGCAUCUCUUCCUCUCCUCCUCUCCUCUUUGCACAUCUCCGUGUCUGUGCUGUCACCAGGCCCAGGUUGCUGGAAGGAGGUGGCCUUUCUCUAUGGAUUUCCCCCGGUUCCUUGUGGCCAUCCUGCUGCCUGUGGGCUGGGCCCUUCAGCAAUCACCAGAUACAGUCGUCCGGGAGGGAGACCCUGUGACUCUGGAAUGUUCUGGAUCAGGGAGUGCAGUGAGGCCCAUGUACUGGUACAAGUUGCCCAUGGAGAAGGGUGCCAGCAUGCAGUUGGUUGUAUACUCAGUGGAAGGUGGCAAAGCAGAUAUUGAGAAGGAAUUCAGAAAUCGCUUCCAGAGUAAUGGGACUCGGAACAACCGUUUAUCUGUGAAGAUAGAUCAUGCCCUACUCAAUGACUCGGGCACAUAUUUCUGUGCUGAACAAGAUCCACAGUGACUCAAAGGCUGGUGCAGCACAGCACAAACCUUUCCAGGCAAACAGGGAUCUGCCACCAGCACACACUGAGC
Corvus hawaiiensis (hawaiian crow) is the source of this 898-nucleotide non-coding RNA. Lineage: Eukaryota; Metazoa; Chordata; Aves; Passeriformes; Corvidae. The record is from the annotation of a RefSeq genome assembly.